GACGAACGCUGGCGGCGUGCCUAACACAUGCAAGUCGAACGGGAUCCAUGAGAGCUUGCUCUCGGAAGAUCUAGUGGCGAACGGGUGAGUAACACGUGAGAAACCUGCCCUGGAGUGGGGAAUAACUCGGGGAAACCCGAGCUAAUACCGCAUACCCUUGGAUGAUCGCAUGGUCGACCAAGGAAAGAUUUAUCGCUCUAGGAGGGUCUCGCGGCCUAUCAGCUAGUUGUGGGGUAAUGGCCUACCAAGGCAACGACGGGUAGCUGGUUUGAGAGAACGAUCAGCCACACUGGGACUGAGACACGGCCCAGACUCCUACGGGAGGCAGCAGUGGGGAAUCUUGCGCAAUGGGCGAAAGCCUGACGCAGCAACGCCGCGUGCGGGAUGACGGCCUCGUGGUUGUAACGACUUCUAGCAGGACGGAAACGUAGACGGUAACCGUUCGCGACGAAGGAAGACCCGGCCGUAACUAACCGUACGCCGACGACAGACCGCCGGUAAACGGUACGACGUACG
RNAcentral lists this ribosomal RNA (516 nucleotides) under uncultured bacterium. RNAcentral's name for it is "bacterial SSU rRNA". It matches the Rfam family "Bacterial small subunit ribosomal RNA", at positions 28 to 534 of the family's 1533-position model. The record is from RNAcentral.